AGGGCAUGACUUCCCUCUUAAGGUUGUUGUAAGGUAGAGGAGAAAAGAUUCGUAGUUGUUACUGUGCAAACAUCAUGGAGCCCCUUGAUAACAAUAACUGUUAUUUAUGGAGCGCCCACUAAUGUAAUAUGCUUAUUAAUUUACAGCAUAAUUUUCAUAUUAAAAUUUUCCCUAAUAUGUUUUU
RNAcentral lists this small RNA (184 nucleotides) under Vulpes vulpes (red fox). RNAcentral describes it as "Disrupted in schizophrenia 2 conserved region (ENSVVUG00000007143.1)". Lineage: Eukaryota; Metazoa; Chordata; Mammalia; Carnivora; Canidae. The record is from RNAcentral.